RNAcentral lists this long non-coding RNA (1417 nucleotides) under Gadus morhua (Atlantic cod). RNAcentral describes it as "lncRNA (ENSGMOG00000022799.1)". Lineage: Eukaryota; Metazoa; Chordata; Actinopteri; Gadiformes; Gadidae. The record is from RNAcentral.
CGUUACCAUCGUCCCCCGUAACCAACAGUUAAGAGGCACCAAGGAAUGAAUACCUGCCAUUCAAAUUGCCUAUUCCUCCAAUGCCUCCCAAUGCUUCCUCUUGAUUCACCAAUCUGAUUCAAAACUAGAACAAACCAAACUCCCAUAAGAUAUUCAAGUAAUUUCAAAUAACACAAUAGGGGAUUAUCACGCUUCCUGGUUCCGGGAUUUGUCUUCGUUGUGCAUGAACACUUCCGGCGCACUUCCACCAUGGCUGAAACAAAGGCGAGAUGUCACUGCUCUCUGUUCCACUUUGUACAUCUAACAAACAACACCAACCCUACUUAAGUUUUCAUGGAUUCCCGACUGAAAUGAGUCUAAGGAAGAAGUGGAUUCAAGCGGUUUGCCGGGAUGAAGGGCCAAACUUUAAAAUAAAACAAGGUAGCAUGUUUGUUUGUAGCCGGCACUUUAGUGAAUCAGACUACAAACGCUACAGCUAGCAACCAACCGGGGUCACACCAAGUGACUGAAAAUCGGGUCUUUACCGUCCCGUUUCCAGUGGAACAACUGGGGACUGCCAAGAAGGGGGUCUGUUUAUAAAAGAGCAUCAACUCGCUUAGGCCAUGACGUUCACCCAUCCCUUCCUCUGGAGCAACCGCUGCCCUGUGAAUAAGAGCCGAUGGAGGAGAUCUCAGCUUCGGUGGUGAUGACAGAACAUGAUUUCGGUUCUGCUCCUAAACCAGAGCUGACUGAACGAAGUGGACUGCUGGAUUUACUGGAGCCAGGAGAUGGCUGCAUGGCAGACAAGGGUUUCACCAUCGAGAAGCCACUAGCUGAUCGUGGGGCAACGCUGAUUAUACCACCCUUCAAGAUGACAGGUAGGCAUGAAAGGAAUGAACAUUUCAAAUUAAAACUUUGACCCAAAUGUGACCAUUAAGAUAUGCAGACAAAUGUUUAAGAUGGACUGAAGCACUCACAAUAAUAUUACUAAUUAAUUUAUCUCUAACCACUGCGCAGUUCAAUGAAGAGGAUGCUCUGAAAACACAAGCAAUCGCUCGACUUCGAAUCCUCGUAGAAAGAGCAAUAGGCAGAGUCAAGGAAUACCGCAUCUGGGAACGCACUGUCCUUUCACCUUGUCUGCGACAGUCAAUCAGCUGUGGACCGUCUGCUGUGUGAUGACCAACUUCCAGGGACCACUUGAUUUAAAAGGCUACAUCCCUGUUGAAUAGUGUUUCUACUCAAACAUGUACCUAUAAAUAUUAAAUAUAAUAUAUAAAUAUUAAAACGAGAGGCACUGAACAUUUGGAGUGGUCCCUUCAUUUUUUCCGGAGCUGUAAUUUUGUACACUGAAAACAUUGUAUAUAUUGAAUGACAUGUAAUGUAAUUGAAUGAGAAGUCUUUCAUCUAUAAUCAAUUUUAAAGUCCAGUCAGUCCAUCC